UACGUAGGGUGCAAGCGUUGUCCGGAUUUAUUGGGCGUAAAGAGCUCGUAGGCGGUUUGUCGCGUCGACUGUGAAAGCCCGGGGCUCAACUCCGGGUCUGCAGUCGAUACGGGCAGACUAGAGUUCGGUAGGGGAGACUGGAAUUCCUGGUGUAGCGGUGAAAUGCGCAGAUAUCAGGAGGAACACCAGCGGCGAAGGCGGCGCUCUGGGCCGGAACUGACGCUGAGGAGCGAAAGCGUGGGUAGCAAACAGG
Molecule: ribosomal RNA, 253 nt
Filed under: uncultured bacterium
Lineage: Bacteria
Description: partial 16S ribosomal RNA
Rfam family: Bacterial small subunit ribosomal RNA
Source: RNAcentral